Molecule: long non-coding RNA, 551 nt
Organism: Strigops habroptila (Kakapo)
Lineage: Eukaryota; Metazoa; Chordata; Aves; Psittaciformes; Psittacidae
Exons: 2
Source: RefSeq, a predicted model, not a curated record
CAGCCCUUUGAGGUGGUGGGGCUGGUACAGGGAAGGAGGUGCGAUUGGUGAGAUGGGGCCACCACUGUGCUUAAAGCUUCCGACUGCCAUCACUGCGAGCAGAGGAGGAGGUGUCAGCACACGGUGAGCUGUGUGCCCCGACCAUGCAGCCCCUCCAGCGCGCUCUCCUGCUCGCCCUGCUGUUCCUCUGCGUGGCCCUUGGCCACGCAGACAAGGGGGUCGGCAUCACCCCGCACACCACGCUGAAGCCCCCCGAGAGGAGCCUGAGCCCGCCCUGCAGCAGCCCGACCCUGCUCUCCCUCACGCUGGGGCUGGCCGCAGCCUUCUUCCUGCGGCUGCUCUGAUCGGGCAGCGCGCUCCUCGCACCCAGCCGCGCUCGGCCCCUCGCAGCGCGGGCACCAGCCCAUAUGAAGCCAUGACCCCCGUCCCUGCCGCGCUCCCCGCGCCCUCCCGCCUCGGAGCCAAGCCCCGCCGCUGCCCCGGCUGGAAGCGAGGCCCCGGGGGCAGCUCGGCAGCGGCGGCUCCGAGCAAUAAAGCGCUUGUGUAGCGGG